This 468-nucleotide ribosomal RNA is filed under the name uncultured bacterium. RNAcentral describes it as "partial 16S ribosomal RNA". It matches the Rfam family "Bacterial small subunit ribosomal RNA", at positions 28 to 507 of the family's 1533-position model. The record is from RNAcentral.
GACGAACGCUGGCGGCGUGCUUAACACAUGCAAGUCGAACGGAAAGGCCCUGCUUUUGUGGGGUGCUCGAGUGGCGAACGGGUGAGUAACACGUGAGUAACCUGCCCUUGACUUUGGGAUAACUUCAGGAAACUGGGGCUAAUACCGGAUAGGAGCUCCUGCUGCAUGGUGGGGGUUGGAAAGUUUCGGCGGUUGGGGAUGGACUCGCGGCUUAUCAGCUUGUUGGUGGGGUAGUGGCUUACCAAGGCUUUGACGGGUAGCCGGCCUGAGAGGGUGACCGGCCACAUGGGGACUGAGAUACGGCCCAGACGCCUACGGGAGGCAGCAGGGGGGAAUAUUGCACAAUGGGCGGAAGCCUGAUGCAGCAACGCCGCGGGCGGGAUGACGGCCUUCGGGUUGUAAACCGCUUUCGCCUGUGACGAAGCGGGAGUGACGGUAAUGGGUAAAGAAGCACCGGCUAACUACGUG